This is a non-coding RNA of Phalacrocorax carbo (great cormorant), 1098 nucleotides long. The record is from RefSeq and is a predicted model, not a curated record. Lineage: Eukaryota; Metazoa; Chordata; Aves; Suliformes; Phalacrocoracidae.
GGGGUAUCUGGGGUCCCAAAGUGGGGGGAAUAUGGGCAUUGUGGGUCCCACAUACGGGUCUAUGGGAGCUGCGGUGGUGCUAUAUGGGCACACAGGGGUCUGUGGGGUCCCAAAUAUUUGUAUUUGGGGUCCCCUGGGGAGAGGAGGGGGGUGUCUAUAUGGGCACACGGGGUCUAUGGGGUCUCCGAGGGGGAUGUAGAGACACACGGGCUGUCAGCGGGGUCCCAAAGGGGCUCUAAGGGCACAUGGGAUAUAUGGGGUCCUACAGAGGGGGAAUAUGGGGGCGUGGGGGCAUGUGGAGGGGGGCGCUGGGGGAUCUGCCCCCCCCCCGACAACCCCCCACCCCAGAGCCUGGUGAACGGCAGCCGCUUAGAUGAGUUCCAGCCCCGGCAUGGCCGUCACCGCCAUGGGAGCCCCCCGCCCCGCUGGGACCCCCCAGCCCUGCCCCAGCCCUCCGCAGGGGACGUGCCCCCGUGCUUGUCCUGGGGGGGCGGUUUGGGGUGCUUUGGGGGGGGGUCCCCAGCACCCUGCAGAGGACCCAGGUGUCCUGGGGAACCGCCCCCAUCCUCACUCUGCCCCGUCUCUCCGCAGGGCACGUACCCCCUUCCCACCAUGGACAGGUCCCAGGUUAUCCCGUACCUGUAGAGAAACCCGCUGGUGAUGGGGCAGCCGCCCGCCCUCCACCCGGUGGGGGGGGGGACCCCGGCUGGGGGGGGGGACACAGGAGGGCUGCUGGGGUCCGUGGGGGCUGGGGGGGGGUCCCGGCCCCGCCUCCCUCCCUGUCCCCUGCAGCCUGCGGCCUUCGUCGCCACCAUCCCGGCCACUACUUCGAGGUGGGCGCACGGGGCCGCUUCUCCCACCGCCGGGACCCCCCCGCGACACGCUGCAGGCGGGGGGCGGCGGCGACCCCUCCUGCGCCCGCCUCUGCGCCCCACAGCCGGCCCCACAGCUGGCCCCACAGCCCGGCCAGCGCUGACCCCCGGCCCCCCGCCCCCGGGACGGGCUGGGGCUGGUCCCAGUCCCAUCACCUCCUCUCGAUCCCCCUCCCGCAGCGCUGAGCCCCAUGACCCCGACCCCAGCCCUGUCCGUGUCCCCCCC